RNAcentral lists this ribosomal RNA (245 nucleotides) under uncultured bacterium. RNAcentral describes it as "partial 16S ribosomal RNA". It matches the Rfam family "Bacterial small subunit ribosomal RNA", at positions 524 to 768 of the family's 1533-position model. The record is from RNAcentral.
UACGUAGGGCGCGAGCGUUACUCGGAAUCACUGGGCAUAAAGGGCGUGUAGGCGGAUGCGUAAGUCCGGUGUGAAAUCCCCCGGCUCAACCGGGGAAAGCCAUCGGAUACUGCGUGUCUUGAGUGUGGGAGGGGAGAGUGGAACUCUUGGUGGAGCGGUGAAAUGCGUAGAUAUCAAGAGGAACGCCGGUGGCGAAAGCGACUCUCUGGCCCACUACUGACGCUGAGGCGCGAAAGCCAGGGGAG